CGUUAAGUAGACCGCCUGGGGAGUACGGCCGCAAGGUUAAAACUCAAAUGAAUUGACGGGGGCCCGCACAAGCGGUGGAGCAUGUGGUUUAAUUCGAUGCAACGCGAAGAACCUUACCUGGUCUUGACAUCCACAGAAGAAUCCAGAGAUGGAUUUGUGCCUUCGGGAACUGUGAGACAGGUGCUGCAUGGCUGUCGUCAGCUCGUGUUGUGAAAUGUUGGGUUAAGUCCCGCAACGAGCGCAACCCUUAUCCUUUGUUGCCAGCGGUCCGGCCGGGAACUCAAAGGAGACUGCCAGUGAUAAACUGGAGGAAGGUGGGGAUGACGUCAAGUCAUCAUGGCCCUUACGACCAGGGCUACACACGUGCUACAAUGGCGCAUACAAAGAGAAGCGACCUCGCGAGAGCAAGCGGACCUCAUAAAGUGCGUCGUAGUCCGGAUUGGAGUCUGCAACUCGACUCCAUGAAGUCGGAAUCGCUAGUAAUCGUGGAUCAGAAUGCCACGGUGAAUACGUUCCCGGGCCUUGUACACACCGCCCGUCACACCAUGGGAGUGGGUUGCAAAAGAAGUAGGUAGCUUAACCUUCGGGAGGGCGCUUACCACUUUGUGAUUCAUGACUGGGGUGAAGUCGUAACAAGGUAACCGUAGGGGAACCUGC
RNAcentral lists this ribosomal RNA (657 nucleotides) under Salmonella enterica. RNAcentral describes it as "bacterial SSU rRNA". It matches the Rfam family "Bacterial small subunit ribosomal RNA", at positions 858 to 1515 of the family's 1533-position model. The record is from RNAcentral. Lineage: Bacteria; Pseudomonadati; Pseudomonadota; Gammaproteobacteria; Enterobacterales; Enterobacteriaceae.